RNAcentral lists this ribosomal RNA (500 nucleotides) under uncultured bacterium. RNAcentral describes it as "partial 16S ribosomal RNA". It matches the Rfam family "Bacterial small subunit ribosomal RNA", at positions 30 to 523 of the family's 1533-position model. The record is from RNAcentral.
AUUGUACGCUGGCGGCAUGCCUUACACAUGCAAGUCGAACGGCAGCACGGGUGCUUGCACCUGGUGGCGAGUGGCGAACGGGUGAGUAAUAUAUCGGAACGUACCUUAUUGUGGGGGAUAACGCAGCGAAAGCUGUGCUAAUACCGCAUAAUCCCUUAGGGGGAAAGCGGGGGACCGUAAGGCCUCGCGCAAUUAGAGCGGCCGAUACCUGAUUAGCUAGUUGGUGAGGUAAAGGCUCACCAAGGCGACGAUCAGUAGCUGGUCUGAGAGGACGAUCAGCCACACUGGGACUGAGACACGGCCCAGACUCCUACGGGAAGCAGCAGUGGGGAAUUUUGGACAAUGGGGCAACCCUGAUCCAGCAAUGCCGCGUGAGUGAAGAAGGCCUUCGGGUUGUAAAGCUCUUUUGUCAGGGAAGAAACAGCAGCUCUAACACAGUAUGCGAAUGACGGUACCUGAAGAAUAAGCACCGGCUAACUACGUGCCAGCCGCCGCCGUAA